RNAcentral lists this small nuclear RNA (103 nucleotides) under Salvator merianae (Argentine black and white tegu). The record is from RNAcentral. Lineage: Eukaryota; Metazoa; Chordata; Lepidosauria; Squamata; Teiidae.
GUGCUCGCUUCGGCAGCACAUAUACUAAAAUUGGAAUGAUACAGAGAAGAUUAGCAUGGCUCCUGCACAAGGAAGUGUUCCUUUUUUUUUUUUUUUCAUUUUU